GGCCAUAUCACGUUGAAAACAUUCGUUCUCAUAUAAUCACCGAAGUGAAGCAAUAUCGAUCUUGUUUAGUAUCUAGAUGGGUGACCGCUUGGGAAUGUCGGGUACUGUAAG
Molecule: non-coding RNA, 111 nt
Organism: Acanthosepion pharaonis
Lineage: Eukaryota; Metazoa; Mollusca; Cephalopoda; Sepiida; Sepiidae
Source: the annotation of a GenBank genome assembly